GAUCCAGCGAUGCCGCGUGUGUGAAGAAGGCCUGCGGGUUGUAAAGCACUUUCAGUAGGGAAGAAAAGCCGAGUGCUAAUAUCACUCGGUCUUGACGUUACUUACAGAAGAAGCACCGGCUAACUCCGUGCCAGCAGCCGCGGUAAUACGGAGGGUGCGAGCGUUAAUCGGAAUUACUGGGCGUAAAGGGCGCGUAGGCGGUUUGGUAAGUCGGGUGUGAAAGCCCCGGGCUCAACCUGGGAAUGGCAUUCGAUACUGCCUGGCUAGAGUAUGGUAGAGGGAAGCGGAAUUCCGGGUGUAGCGGUGAAAUGCGUAGAUAUCCGGAGGAACACCAGUGGCGAAGGCGGCUUCCUGGACCAAUACUGACGCUGAGGCGCGAAAGCGUGGGGAUCAAACAGGAUUAGAUACCCUGGUAGUCCACGCCCUAAACGAUGAGAACUAGCCGUUGGAGGAGCUUUGUCCUUUAGUGGCGCACUAACGCGAUAAGUUCUCCGCCUGGGGAGUACGGCCGCAAGGUUA
Molecule: ribosomal RNA, 519 nt
Filed under: uncultured bacterium
Lineage: Bacteria
Description: bacterial SSU rRNA
Rfam family: Bacterial small subunit ribosomal RNA
Source: RNAcentral